UUACCUAGCCAACAUGGUGAAUUAUGUUUUGAUCAAAUCACUUAAUGAUUAGGAAUUGACCCAUGCUAACUAGAAAAUCAGUAUGACUGAUUUAGGUGCUCCUACUAUGACUUAUUUGUAGUCUUCAUGAUGACUUGGUGAAGUCAGCUAGAGGGUUUAUGUCUUGUUGGUUGGACUGACUUAUAUCUAGUCCUCUUUGAUCUGACUUGAUGAAGUUAGUGGGAGGAUUAUGAUUAGCUGGUUAGUAUCUUUUAUUCUUUUAAAAAUAUUUAAUCAAAUUUAAAUUAUUAGAUCCAUAAAAUAAAUUAAUUAUGGGGAUAAC
RNAcentral lists this long non-coding RNA (322 nucleotides) under Elaeis guineensis (African oil palm). RNAcentral describes it as "long non-coding RNA (EGUI_LNC062803)". The record is from RNAcentral. Lineage: Eukaryota; Viridiplantae; Streptophyta; Magnoliopsida; Arecales; Arecaceae.